RNAcentral lists this long non-coding RNA (1127 nucleotides) under Medicago truncatula (barrel medic). RNAcentral's name for it is "long non-coding RNA (MTRU_LNC001467)". Lineage: Eukaryota; Viridiplantae; Streptophyta; Magnoliopsida; Fabales; Fabaceae. The record is from RNAcentral.
GUCGAUAAAAGGUGUGGGUUGUCUCCCACGAAAGCCCUUGUUUAAGGUCAAUAAAAGGUGUGGGUUGCCUCCCUAGGUUUUAAGGAGGAGUUUUAAGGGGAGGAUAUCUCUUCUUUUUGAUAUUCUUCCUAUCCUUUAAUUUCCCAAAUUUUUUGUUGCUCUUGGCAGAGUUCAUAUCAAAAUCCAUGACAUAUGUCCCCACAUUUUUCCCAACAGCGACACCAAAAACUUACACUUUCAAAAAUGCACCUGUUUUUUGUCGAUUAAUACUUGUUGAUUCAUUAUAAAAACGAUGAAAUAGAUCAGAAAAUAUAUUUACAUAAAAUUAGGGUUCGAGACUUGGUUUGAUAGGGAUUAGCUCAUUAGACUCAUAUAACAAUCCCAAGACAAAGAAGUCUACUCACACAUGUUAAUUGUAAACAUAGAAGAUAAGAAGAAGAAGAACAUUAAAGAGAAUAAAUAAAAAAAUGAGAACUUUUAUUCAAAGAAACAAUUGUCACUUAUUAAUUUACAAGAACAAAAGAUGAUUGAAUAUGUUUUCUAGCUGCUUUAUUUAUAGUCUAAAACUACUUAAGCCCCAAGAAUUACAUCAAUAGAAUGUUCCAUAAGAAACCAUGGGCUUUAGGUCAGAAAUAAACUAAACAGACAGCUUGUCGAAGAAGCAAAAGCAGCAAAAGAAAGUCUGUGGUGGUGGCACGGCCCGUGGAGACACGGGCCGUGCCAAGCCUUCUGGUUGGUUGGCUUCAUAUUUUUGCAUCAAAUUUUCUUAUUUUUGGCCCGAAUCAGCUCUAAAUCUCAUUUCUUUUGCUCCAAGACUCAAUCUUUCAAAUAUUUGUUCCUGAAAUUAAAUAAGUUGCAAUUAAAGUAAAAUAGUUCUAAAAUAAAAAAUAAAAAAUCACAUAAAAUCUAAAUAAAACAGACUCAAAUAAUAUAUAAAAAACACUAAUUAAUGAUUCAUCAUUUCUAUGUUGGCUCGAUCAAUUAAGCCUUAUCACCCAUUUCAUCCAAAAAAAAAAAAAAAAACUAUGUCAUUCUCAUGAUUAAACUUUUUAUAUAGCCUCAUAUUUCCUCCAACUACCUUCACAUUAAGGAUAUAUUAGGCUUUGAAUUCUCAUAAAUAAAUAAAA